UGGUUCGUAAUGAGAGAAUGCAUUAUAUACGAAAAAAUGCCAUUAGAUAAACUUUUUUUUUAAUGGUCUUAUUUUUUGUUUGUUUUUGGCCCGUGUUUAAUUCUUUGUCUUAUUUACCGAUUUUUUUUUUUUUUUUUGGCAAUACACUCCUUAAUCCUUAUCCUUUUUGUAAUACAUGAUGCAAAUAUUUACAUAGAUGGCCCUAGAUGCCUCAUUUGUUAUAAAGUAUAGUAUUUUAUAUGGAUAAGAAAGACAAAACCAAAUAUAUUUGGUAUCUUAAAUUUUUUAAUACUAUUAUACCGAACAAAUAUGAAAUAAUUAAUUAUUAGCAUGUAUUGGGUCCAUAGCUCAGUG
This 354-nucleotide long non-coding RNA is filed under the name Salvia miltiorrhiza (redroot sage). RNAcentral's name for it is "long non-coding RNA (SMIL_LNC003615)". The record is from RNAcentral. Lineage: Eukaryota; Viridiplantae; Streptophyta; Magnoliopsida; Lamiales; Lamiaceae.